RNAcentral lists this long non-coding RNA (1357 nucleotides) under Olea europaea subsp. europaea. The record is from RNAcentral. Lineage: Eukaryota; Viridiplantae; Streptophyta; Magnoliopsida; Lamiales; Oleaceae.
AAAAAUAUUUUCUACUUUUGGAUACAUGACUAUAUUUUCCUUGAAACCAAGGAAAAUAUUUUUUCAAGGAAAUAGAUUUUUAUUUGUCAGUGAUUCACUCUUAUUUUCUCUAACAUCUACUGCCUCUCUCUUCCAUCUAUCUAUCAAUAAAAAAUGAAUAAGUAUAACAUUUUUCUAGUUGAAAAUAAAAUCAAUCACAUACAUUUAAUUGAUACUUUUCAUGCAUAUAAUUUCUUGACAAUUCAAUUGCUUAAAAUUUAUUUUCUUUUCAAUGUAAAUUUCAAACUUACAAUCAAGCACACUCUUAAAUCAACUUUGGUAUAGAAUCUUCAUAAAAAUAUCAUUCGGUACCACCAAAUACAAUCGGAAUCUCUCAUAUAUAUAUAUAUAUAUAUAUAUAUAUACACAAACAUAACAAUUUAAUUUAUUAGGAUAAUUUCUUUCUGGUUUAAAUUUCCUAACAUGCCUACUUUCAUCUAAAUAAGGCUUUCUUCUAUUAGAUUUUCUAAGAUAAUAUCUUUUCUUAUAAGGUUGGUAAUUUUUCUUAUUAUCAUAUUUUCUUUUAUUCUUUUCUUUAAACUUAUUUCCAUAAGUUUGAGGUGUAUAAAUAUCUUUACAAAAUUUAUAAUCUGUCUUUUUAAGUUGGUUCUGUAUUUGUAAUUCAAUACAUUUUUCUUCUAAACAUUGCAUUAUAAAUUGUGUUCUAAUUCCUAUACUCCAUAAUUGGUCUGGUCUUUCUUUAACACUUUUAUUUUCAUUCCAUUUCUUUGUUAUUUCUAGUCCUAAAGGACCUGGUAGUUUAUGAAAUAAUUUUUUCCCUAAUUCUUGAUUAAAAGUAUUUCCUGAAAUAGAAACUAAAUAAUAAUAUUCAUUUAAAAAUUGUUUAACUUCUUUACCAUUAGUCCAUCUAUUUAAGCUAAGUUGUUCUAAAUUUCUAAUAGCUUUAUUUUGGAUUAUUAAUUGUCCUGUAUUAGGGUCUGCUCCUGUUAAUAAUUCAUGUAUUUUACUAAAAAGAUUAUAAGGAUUAUUUCCUAAUAAUACUAAUGCUUCAAAUUCUGAUUGUUUAUCUCUUUUAUAAGCUUCCCAUGUAGCUUUAGUACUUUCUCCUAAAAAAGUUUCUAAAUAUCUAUACAUUUCUAAUGGUUCCAUGUUAUCUGCUAACCUAAUAUAAUGACCUAAUACCGUAUUCUUCCAAACUUCUAUUGUAUUAUUCCAAGUCUGGGGAUCAUGUGCUGUAAUAUUUAAUAAUUGUGGUUUAUGAGGCGUCUGAAAUUCUAUUUUAGGUUCUAAAGGUCUAACUUUUCCUCUAACUAUAUAGUUUCUUUCUUUAUCAUUAUAAUUUGUAUAAGGUAUUCUA